AACGAACGCUGGCGGCGUGGAUUAGGCAUGCAAGUCGUGCGCGAAAGGUUCCUUCGGGGGCUGAGUAGAGCGGCGAACUGGUGAGUACAAGGUGACUAACCUGCCCUACGAGUGGGGGAUAACCCCGGGAAACCGGGGCUAUACCGCAUGGUCUCGCGGGUCUUCGGAUCGGCGAGUAAAGCAGUAAUGCGCUCGAGGAUGGGGU
This 205-nucleotide ribosomal RNA is filed under the name uncultured bacterium. RNAcentral's name for it is "partial 16S ribosomal RNA". It matches the Rfam family "Bacterial small subunit ribosomal RNA", at positions 29 to 231 of the family's 1533-position model. The record is from RNAcentral.